This 69-nucleotide transfer RNA is filed under the name Podarcis lilfordi (Lilford's wall lizard). RNAcentral's name for it is "tRNA.Ile". Lineage: Eukaryota; Metazoa; Chordata; Lepidosauria; Squamata; Lacertidae. The record is from RNAcentral.
GAAAGCUCAGUUGGUUAGAGCAUGGUGUUGAUAGCAUCAAGGUCACAGGUUCGAUCCCUUUAUGGGACA